Molecule: ribosomal RNA, 255 nt
Filed under: uncultured bacterium
Lineage: Bacteria
Description: partial 16S ribosomal RNA
Rfam family: Bacterial small subunit ribosomal RNA
Source: RNAcentral
UACGAAGGGGGCUAGCGUUGUUCGGAAUCACUGGGCGUAAAGGGCGCGUAGGCGGCUUUGUAAGUCGGGGGUGAAAGCCUGUGGCUCAACCACAGAAUUGCCUUCGAUACUGCAUGGCUUGAGACCGGAAGAGGUUAGUGGAACUGCGAGUGUAGAGGUGAAAUUCGUAGAUAUUCGCAAGAACACCAGUGGCGAAGGCGGCUGACUGGUCCGGAUCUGACGCUGAGGCGCGGAAAGCGUGGGGAGCAAACAGGG